GAUGAACGCUGACAGAAUGCUUAACACAUGCAAGUCUUUGGCAAAGCUGUGCUUGCACAGUCUAGCCAAGGCGGACGGGUGAGUAACGCGUAAGGAACUUGCCCUGCAGUCAGGGAUAACAGACGGAAACGACUGAUAAGACCUGGUAAAGUCAGGCGGACUCAUGUCCAGCCUGAUGAAAAGAGAUGCUGCAGGAGAGCCUUGCGUCCUAUUAGCUUGUUGGUGGGGUAACGGCCCACCAAGGCGAUGAUAGGUAGCCGGCCUGAGAGGGUGGACGGCCACAAGGGGACUGAGAUACGGCCCUUACUCCUACGGGAGGCAGCAGUGGGGAAUAUUGGACAAUGGGGGCAACCCUGAUCCAGCAAUUCUGUGUGCACGAUGAAGGUUUUCGGAUUGUAAAGUGCUUUCAGCAGGGAAGAAAAAAAUGACGGUACCUGCAGAAGAAGCGACGGCUAAAUACGUGCCAGCAGCCGCGGUAAUACGUAUGUCGCAAGCGUUAUCCGGAAUUAUUGGGCAUAAAGGGCAUCUAGGCGGCCAGAUAAGUCUGGGGUGAAAACUUGCGGCUCAACCGCAAGCCUGCCCUGGAAACUAUGUGGCUAGAGUACUGGAGAGGUGGACGGAACUGCACGAGUAGAGGUGAAAUUCGUAGAUAUGUGCAGGAAUGCCGAUGAUGAAGAUAGUUCACUGGACGGUAACUGACGCUGAAGUGCGAAAGCUAGGGGAGCAAACAGG
This 732-nucleotide ribosomal RNA is filed under the name uncultured Leptotrichia sp. Its description in RNAcentral is "bacterial SSU rRNA". It matches the Rfam family "Bacterial small subunit ribosomal RNA", at positions 28 to 776 of the family's 1533-position model. Lineage: Bacteria; Fusobacteriati; Fusobacteriota; Fusobacteriia; Fusobacteriales; Leptotrichiaceae. The record is from RNAcentral.